RNAcentral lists this RNase P RNA (361 nucleotides) under Alteromonadaceae bacterium. RNAcentral describes it as "RNase P RNA component class A". It matches the Rfam family "Bacterial RNase P class A". From Rfam's summary of the family: Ribonuclease P (RNase P) is a ubiquitous endoribonuclease, found in archaea, bacteria and eukarya as well as chloroplasts and mitochondria. Its best characterised activity is the generation of mature 5'-ends of tRNAs by cleaving the 5'-leader elements of precursor-tRNAs. Cellular RNase Ps are ribonucleoproteins. Lineage: Bacteria; Pseudomonadati; Pseudomonadota; Gammaproteobacteria; Alteromonadales; Alteromonadaceae. The record is from RNAcentral.
GGAGAUGGCCAGGUAAUCGCUGCUUUCGCUUGCGAAAGGGGAGGAAAGUCCGGGCUCCAUAGGGCAGGGUGCCAGAUAACGUCUGGGCGGCGUGAGCCGACGACNAGUGCAGCAGAGAGNANACCGCCUAAGCAUGNUUNNNNGCCGGUAAGGGUGAAAGGGUGCGGUAAGAGCGCACCGCGCAACUGGUAACAGUUUGUGGCACGGUAAACUCCACCCGGAGCAAGACCAAAUAGGCUCCCUAUACGUGCGGCCCGCACGGGGAGCGGGUAGGUUGCUUGAGCCAGUGAGCAAUUGCUGGCCUAGAGGAAUGAUUACCACUCGAAAGAGAACAGAACCCGGCUUACGGCCAUCUCCGACU